UGGCGGACGGGUGAGUAACGCGUGGGUAACCUGCCUCAUACAGGGGGAUAACAGUUAGAAAUGACUGCUAAUACCGCGUAAGACCACAGCACCGCAUGGUGCAGGGGUAAAAACUCCGGUGGUAUGAGAUGGACCCGCGUCUGAUUAGGUAGUUGGUGGGGUAACGGCCUACCAAGCCGACGAUCAGUAGCCGACCUGAGAGGGUGACCGGCCACAUUGGGACUGAGACACGGCCCAA
RNAcentral lists this ribosomal RNA (238 nucleotides) under uncultured bacterium. RNAcentral's name for it is "partial 16S ribosomal RNA". It matches the Rfam family "Bacterial small subunit ribosomal RNA", at positions 96 to 334 of the family's 1533-position model. The record is from RNAcentral.